This 456-nucleotide ribosomal RNA is filed under the name uncultured bacterium. RNAcentral describes it as "bacterial SSU rRNA". It matches the Rfam family "Bacterial small subunit ribosomal RNA", at positions 340 to 786 of the family's 1533-position model. The record is from RNAcentral.
UACGGGAGGCAGCAGUGGGGAAUAUUGCACAAUGGGCGAAAGCCUGAUGCAGCUAUGCCGCGUGUAUGAAGAAGGCCUUAGGGUUGUAAAGUACUUUCAUCGGGGAGGAAAAAACAAAACUAAUAAUUUUAUUUCUUGACGUUACCCGAAAAAGAAGCACCGGCUAACUCCGUGCCAGCAGCCACGGUAAUACGGAGGGUGCUAGCGUUAAUCAGAAUUACUGGGCGUAAAGAGCACGUAGGUGGUUUUUUUAAGUCAGAUGUGAAAUCCCUGGGCUUAACCUAGGAACUGCAUUUUGAAACUGAAAUACUAGAGUAUCGUAGAGGGAGGUAGAAUUCUAGGUGUAGCGGUGAAAUGCGUAGAUAUCUGGAGGAAUACCUGUGGCGAAAGCGGCCUCCUAAACGAAUACUGACACUGAGGUGCGAAAGCGUGGGGAGCAAACAGGGAUUAGAUACC